This 129-nucleotide transfer-messenger RNA is filed under the name Luminiphilus sp. RNAcentral's name for it is "partial transfer-messenger RNA". It matches the Rfam family "transfer-messenger RNA", at positions 236 to 374 of the family's 374-position model. Rfam says of the family: Bacterial tmRNA, also known as 10Sa RNA or SsrA, is named for its dual tRNA and mRNA-like properties. Its role is to liberate the mRNA from a stalled ribosome. To accomplish this part of the tmRNA is used as a reading frame that ends in a translation stop signal. The record is from RNAcentral. Lineage: Bacteria; Pseudomonadati; Pseudomonadota; Gammaproteobacteria; Cellvibrionales; Halieaceae.
UUACGAGAAUCGCGGUCUACGUCCUGACCGUUGGGCUGUUGACCGUUAAAUUAAUUAACGGAAACUAAGCAUGUAGAGCCAAAGGCAGAGUACUGGCGGACGCGGGUUCAACUCCCGCCGCCUCCACCA